UCUAGGUUGGAUCCACAGUUUAGCUAUUGUGAAUUGUGCUGCAAUAAACAUUGAUGUGGCUGUUUCACCACUUUCUUAUGGAAUGGAACCCAAAGAGAUAAGCACUGUGCUCCAACCCCUUCCCACACCCUCCCCAAAGGCUGCCAAUUGACAACCUCUGUACUGGAUUCUACUAUCACCUCUGCCAGUAUAUUGCUUCAUUUAAUCUUCACAUUGCCCUAUAAAGCAAAUAUUAUUAUAUCCAUUUCACUGAUAAGGAACUGAUUACAGAGAGAGUAUGCAGUUUAUGCAAGCACCUGCUUUGCCUACCUGAAAAAGGUGAUUGUUAGACAUAACAAAAAAAUGAAUAUUAAAACGCGUGUCAAAUAUACAUGGCAUUUGUAAAGAGCUAAAUGCAAAGCACGCUAUUGUGUAAUUUUAAUUUGUUUAACAAAAAUAUAUCAAAAGGUUUCUAUAGGUUAUGCACUCUCUCCAUGCGGUAAUAGGCAAUGAAUGAACCAGAUGACAAAUCCUUUCCUGUACAGAGCUGACAUUCUAUUGAAAUAUCCAGACAAUAAACUAAAUAAAUAUGUAAAUUAUAUAAUAUUUAGAAAGUGAUAAAUGAUGAAGAGAGACAGGAAAAGGGAGAUUGGGAGCUAUGAAGGGCAGGCGCAUUUAUUAAUAAAGUGGUCAGGGAGGGCUUCUGCACAGGAGAGGUCUCCAUCCUUCCAUGAAAAGUGCAGCCCACCAGACAAAUCUGGCAGAGGUCUGUCUUUCCAAGGCCACCAACUAGGAACAUAUUCUCCCAUUUGUAAAGGAUUUUCAAAUGAUAAAGAAGAUAUGACAGAGACCAUAUGUAACCUGCAAAAUUUAAAAUAUUUACUAUCUGACCUUUUUUUUCAGGGAAAGUUUGCAGACUUGGCCCACCAUGUAUGCCAUUGCUUUGACAACCAGCUCUACACAGGUGUAAUCUGACAGCAUCUGGCCUCAGAUGUACUAAACACCCCUUGCUUUCUUCCCCCUGCCUGCCUCCAUGGAAGUCCACUUGACACUCACUCAUGUGCAGCAUAGAGAUGUGAAUUCCUUAACAGCCUAGAGGGCAACCCGUGACAGUGAAGAAUGGGCGUGAUGGAUGAAAGCCUCCCUGCCUCCCUCUAUGCCCUUGCAGAUAAUUCUGGGUUGCUGUCUAUAUGCCUCUUCAAAAGGUCCUGGUAGGUUUAAACUCUGUUUCUUUCCCUGUAGUUCUUUGCUGUUGCUGAGAGCUCUUGUUGCAGGCUCUGCUUUGGAGAGGGAGCCCAGGCUGAGACAGGAGUGACUCCAGAAAGCUGACUCUCAGGCUGGAUUCCAGAACUGGUUCACUUGCCAAUCAUCCUUAGCUGGUAGUAGGGACAACUGGAGCUGACUUCAUUACCCUGCUGGAGUGGCUUCUAAAUGAAGACAGCACAUAAUAAAUGACGUGGGGAAGCUCAAACUUCCUUGGCAAAGAACUAAGAAAAGUGCCAGAAGUUCUAAGAAGAGUCUCUGUUGAGUGUCUAGCACGUCUAGAAUGAGACUUUGAGCCUGUUGAAAAGUUGGAGAACAAUUGAAUAGAGAAUCGAUGCCAACUCUGGAAUCUCCAAGACUAUGGAGUCUGUUUAGUUUGAAAUAUGGGAUUUGGAACUCACAGUAAAGUUUUGCCCAUUCUUCUGG
Molecule: non-coding RNA, 1668 nt
Organism: Ictidomys tridecemlineatus (thirteen-lined ground squirrel)
Lineage: Eukaryota; Metazoa; Chordata; Mammalia; Rodentia; Sciuridae
Source: RefSeq, a predicted model, not a curated record